AAAUCUUUGAAUCAUCUGUUCCUAUCAGUUUAAUAUCUGAUACGUCCCCCAUCGGGGGACUACAUAUUAAAUGGAUUUUUCGAAACAGGGAGUCGGAAACUUGGCUUGCUCUGUCCACUCCACACAUCGACCCGGUAUUGCAAAACCUCCGCGAAUGGUGCAACACUU
Molecule: small nuclear RNA, 168 nt
Filed under: Hucho hucho (huchen)
Lineage: Eukaryota; Metazoa; Chordata; Actinopteri; Salmoniformes; Salmonidae
Description: U2 spliceosomal RNA (ENSHHUG00000005092.1)
Rfam family: U2 spliceosomal RNA
About the family: U2 is a small nuclear RNA (snRNA) component of the spliceosome (involved in pre-mRNA splicing). Complementary binding between U2 snRNA (in an area lying towards the 5' end but 3' to hairpin I) and the branchpoint sequence (BPS) of the intron results the bulging out of an unpaired adenosine, on the BPS, which initiates a nucleophilic attack at the intronic 5' splice site, thus starting the first of two transesterification reactions that mediate splicing.
Source: Rfam by way of RNAcentral